RNAcentral lists this long non-coding RNA (583 nucleotides) under Bos taurus (domestic cattle). Its description in RNAcentral is "long non-coding RNA NONBTAT011121". Lineage: Eukaryota; Metazoa; Chordata; Mammalia; Artiodactyla; Bovidae. The record is from RNAcentral.
CUUUUUAGGAAACUCUGAAACCAAUUACAUUUAUUGAAAAAUCCCCGAUUAAAGCAUGAACCAAGUAAAAUACACAAUUGACAUCAGGUGACUAUAAUCCUUUUUUCAUAUUUAGCCAAUUAGAAUUAUUCUUAAUACUGUAACAUAGGCUUUGUGUCUUUCCUCCACAUUCUCCUUUUUCAGAGCAUUCCUUGUACAUGCUGAAUCUAGGCUUACCUGAUGACAUUACUAAUAUAACAUACUGAGAUAUCUGAUAGGGUUGGAGUGACUUACCAGAUUCCAGUUUGCCACACUUAGAAUGUUCCAAAGCUUAGAUCAUGGCACACAGGCCUUUUUACUUGUUCCAGACUAAAAAAUCUCUUUGUAUAUGUGUGUAUACACGUGUAUGCCCAUGUAUUCUUUUAUUGCAAAGAAAGAGGGUAGAACAAUUCUGAAUGUAUAUGUAGUGUUUAACAGUCUUCAGUCAUCAUACUAUCUUUUACAAUGUAAAAGAGCCUUGAGCAGCACUAAGCAACAUAAGACCAGGUUCUAUUAUUUCUUGAUAUGGGUCUAAGGAAUCCUGGUUCCUUCCUUCUUUUUUAAC